This 307-nucleotide ribosomal RNA is filed under the name Escherichia coli. Its description in RNAcentral is "partial 23S ribosomal RNA". It matches the Rfam family "Bacterial large subunit ribosomal RNA", at positions 138 to 483 of the family's 2925-position model. Lineage: Bacteria; Pseudomonadati; Pseudomonadota; Gammaproteobacteria; Enterobacterales; Enterobacteriaceae. The record is from RNAcentral.
AUUCGUCACACUAUCAUUAACUGAAUCCAUAGGUUAAUGAGGCGAACCGGGGGAACUGAAACAUCUAAGUACCCCGAGGAAAAGAAAUCAACCGAGAUUCCCCCAGUAGCGGCGAGCGAACGGGGAGGAGCCCAGAGCCUGAAUCAGUGUGUGUGUUAGUGGAAGCGUCUGGAAAGGCGCGCGAUACAGGGUGACAGCCCCGUACACAAAAAUGCACAUGCUGUGAGCUCGAUGAGUAGGGCGGGACACGUGGUAUCCUGUCUGAAUAUGGGGGGACCAUCCUCCAAGGCUAAAUACUCCUGACUGA